AGCGUACACGGUGGAUGCCCUGGCAGUCAGAGGCGAUGAAGGACGUGCUAAUCUGCGAUAAGCGUCGGUAAGGUGAUAUGAACCGUUAUAACCGGCGAUUUCCGAAUGGGGAAACCCAGUGUGUUUCGACACACUAUCAUUAACUGAAUCCAUAGGUUAAUGAGGCGAACCGGGGGAACUGAAACAUCUAAGUACCCCGAGGAAAAGAAAUCAACCGAGAUUCCCCCAGUAGCGGCGAGCGAACGGGGAGCAGCCCAGAGCCUGAAUCAGUGUGUGUGUUAGUGGAAGCGUCUGGAAAGGCGCGCGAUACAGGGUGACAGCCCCGUACACAAAAAUGCACAUACUGUGAGCUCGAUGAGUAGGGCGGGACACGUGGUAUCCUGUCUGAAUAUGGGGGGACCAUCCUCCAAGGCUAAAUACUCCUGACUGACCGAUAGUGAACCAGUACCGUGAGGGAAAGGCGAAAAGAACCCCGGCGAGGGGAGUGAAAAAGAACCUGAAACCGUGUACGUACAAGCAGUGGGAGCACGCUUAGGCGUGUGACUGCGUACCUUUUGUAUAAUGGGUCAGCGACUUAUAUUCUGUAGCAAGGUUAACCGAAUAGGGGAGCCGAAGGGAAACCGAGUCUUAACUGGGCGUUAAGUUGCAGGGUAUAGACCCGAAACCCGGUGAUCUAGCCAUGGGCAGGUUGAAGGUUGGGUAACACUAACUGGAGGACCGAACCGACUAAUGUUGAAAAAUUAGCGGAUGACUUGUGGCUGGGGGUGAAAGGCCAAUCAAACCGGGAGAUAGCUGGUUCUCCCCGAAAGCUAUUUAGGUAGCGCCUCGUGAAUUCAUCUCCGGGGGUAGAGCACUGUUUCGGCAAGGGGGUCAUCCCGACUUACCAACCCGAUGCAAACUGCGAAUACCGGAGAAUGUUAUCACGGGAGACACACGGCGGGUGCUAACGUCCGUCGUGAAGAGGGAAACAACCCAGACCGCCAGCUAAGGUCCCAAAGUCAUGGUUAAGUGGGAAACGAUGUGGGAAGGCCCAGACAGCCAGGAUGUUGGCUUAGAAGCAGCCAUCAUUUAAAGAAAGCGUAAUAGCUCACUGGUCGAGUCGGCCUGCGCGGAAGAUGUAACGGGGCUAAACCAUGCACCGAAGCUGCGGCAGCGACGCUUAUGCGUUGUUGGGUAGGGGAGCGUUCUGUAAGCCUGCGAAGGUGUGCUGUGAGGCAUGCUGGAGGUAUCAGAAGUGCGAAUGCUGACAUAAGUAACGAUAAAGCGGGUGAAAAGCCCGCUCGCCGGAAGACCAAGGGUUCCUGUCCAACGUUAAUCGGGGCAGGGUGAGUCGACCCCUAAGGCGAGGCCGAAAGGCGUAGUCGAUGGGAAACAGGUUAAUAUUCCUGUACUUGGUGUUACUGCGAAGGGGGGACGGAGAAGGCUAUGUUGGCCGGGCGACGGUUGUCCCGGUUUAAGCGUGUAGGCUGGUUUUCCAGGCAAAUCCGGAAAAUCAAGGCUGAGGCGUGAUGACGAGGCACUACGGUGCUGAAGCAACAAAUGCCCUGCUUCCAGGAAAAGCCUCUAAGCAUCAGGUAACAUCAAAUCGUACCCCAAACCGACACAGGUGGUCAGGUAGAGAAUACCAAGGCGCUUGAGAGAACUCGGGUGAAGGAACUAGGCAAAAUGGUGCCGUAACUUCGGGAGAAGGCACGCUGAUAUGUAGGUGAAGUCCCUCGCGGAUGGAGCUGAAAUCAGUCGAAGAUACCAGCUGGCUGCAACUGUUUAUUAAAAACACAGCACUGUGCAAACACGAAAGUGGACGUAUACGGUGUGACGCCUGCCCGGUGCCGGAAGGUUAAUUGAUGGGGUCAGCGCAAGCGAAGCUCUUGAUCGAAGCCCCGGUAAACGGCGGCCGUAACUAUAACGGUCCUAAGGUAGCGAAAUUCCUUGUCGGGUAAGUUCCGACCUGCACGAAUGGCGUAAUGAUGGCCAGGCUGUCUCCACCCGAGACUCAGUGAAAUUGAACUCGCUGUGAAGAUGCAGUGUACCCGCGGCAAGACGGAAAGACCCCGUGAACCUUUACUAUAGCUUGACACUGAACAUUGAGCCUUGAUGUGUAGGAUAGGUGGGAGGCUUUGAAGUGUGGACGCCAGUCUGCAUGGAGCCGGCCUUGAAAUACCACCCUUUAAUGUUUGAUGUUCUAACGUUGACCCGUAAUCCGGGUUGCGGACAGUGUCUGGUGGGUAGUUUGACUGGGGCGGUCUCCUCCUAAAGAGUAACGGAGGAGCACGAAGGUUGGCUAAUCCUGGUCGGACAUCAGGAGGUUAGUGCAAUGGCAUAAGCCAGCUUGACUGCGAGCGUGACGGCGCGAGCAGGUGCGAAAGCAGGUCAUAGUGAUCCGGUGGUUCUGAAUGGAAGGGCCAUCGCUCAACGGAUAAAAGGUACUCCGGGGAUAACAGGCUGAUACCGCCCAAGAGUUCAUAUCGACGGCGGUGUUUGGCACCUCGAUGUCGGCUCAUCACAUCCUGGGGCUGAAGUAGGUCCCAAGGGUAUGGCUGUUCGCCAUUUAAAGUGGUACGCGAGCUGGGUUUAGAACGUCGUGAGACAGUUCGGUCCCUAUCUGCCGUGGGCGCUGGAGAACUGAGGGGGGCUGCUCCUAGUACGAGAGGACCGGAGUGGACGCAUCACUGGUGUUCGGGUUGUCAUGCCAAUGGCACUGCCCGGUAGCUAAAUGCGGAAGAGAUAAGUGCUGAAAGCAUCUAAGCACGAAACUUGCCCCGAGAUGAGUUCUCCCUGACUCCUUGA
Molecule: ribosomal RNA, 2787 nt
Filed under: Escherichia coli STEC O174:H2 str. 02-04446
Lineage: Bacteria; Pseudomonadati; Pseudomonadota; Gammaproteobacteria; Enterobacterales; Enterobacteriaceae
Description: bacterial LSU rRNA
Rfam family: Bacterial large subunit ribosomal RNA
Source: RNAcentral